UCCAGCCUGCCCAGUGACUCUGUUCAACGGCCGCGGUAUCCUAACCGUGCGAAGGUAGCGUAAUCACUUGCCCUUUAAAUGAGGGCUAGUAUGAAUGGCAUCACGAAAGUUGUACUGUCUCCUUCCCCUAAUCAGUGAAACUAAUCUCCCCGUGAAGAAGCGGGGAUACUCNUAUAAGACGAGAAGACCCUAUGGAGCUUUAAACCAAGCAUCAACUGCCGCUAUAAACCUACAAUUCCAGAAAUAUAAUCUGUACGCUAGCAUAGUGUAGUGCUGGUUUUAGGUUGGGGUGACCAUGGAGUAAAAACAAACCUCCAUGUUGAAUCAGGACCUCCUUAAGCAAUAAGCCACAACUUUAUGCAUCAAUAAAUUGACAUUAAUUGACCCAAUUCUUUGAUCAACGAACCAAGUUACCNNNGGGAUAACAGCGCAAUCCAUUUCAAGAGCCCCUAU
This 453-nucleotide ribosomal RNA is filed under the name Gastrotheca cornuta (horned marsupial frog). RNAcentral describes it as "partial 16S ribosomal RNA". It matches the Rfam family "Bacterial large subunit ribosomal RNA", at positions 1853 to 2505 of the family's 2925-position model. The record is from RNAcentral. Lineage: Eukaryota; Metazoa; Chordata; Amphibia; Anura; Hemiphractidae.